CUCGAGAGCUGUCCACUGACCUGGAACAUCCAAUGAUUCAUCUGUCUUCUCAGAACUAUUGGAAUCCUGGAUCAUUGUGGAGAGUCAAAGGUUGCUUCUGC
Molecule: long non-coding RNA, 101 nt
Organism: Lemur catta (Ring-tailed lemur)
Lineage: Eukaryota; Metazoa; Chordata; Mammalia; Primates; Lemuridae
Exons: 3
Source: RefSeq, a predicted model, not a curated record